RNAcentral lists this ribosomal RNA (379 nucleotides) under uncultured bacterium. RNAcentral's name for it is "bacterial SSU rRNA". It matches the Rfam family "Bacterial small subunit ribosomal RNA", at positions 367 to 762 of the family's 1533-position model. The record is from RNAcentral.
CGCAAUGGGGGCAACCCUGAUGGAGCAACGCCGCGUGCAGGAUGAAGGCCUUCGGGUCGUAAACUGCUUUUGUCUGUGAAGAAUAUGACGGUAGCAGACGAAUAAGGGUCGGCUAACUACGUGCCAGCAGCCGCGGUCAUACGUAGGACCCAAGCGUUAUCCGGAUUUACUGGGCGUAAAGAGUUGCGUAGGUGGCAGAGUAAGUUAGUAGUGAAAUCGUGUGGCUCAACCAUACUCACAUUGCUAAAACUGCUCAGCUUGAGGACGAGAGAGGUCACUGGAAUUCCUUGUGUAGGAGUGAAAUCCGUAGAUAUAAGGAGGAACACCGAUGGCGUAGGCAGGUGACUGGCUCGUUUCUGACACUAAGGCACGAAAGCGU